Long non-coding RNA from Leptopilina boulardi, 608 nucleotides. RefSeq lists it as uncharacterized. The transcript is spliced from 4 exons. The record is from RefSeq and is a predicted model, not a curated record. Lineage: Eukaryota; Metazoa; Arthropoda; Insecta; Hymenoptera; Figitidae.
GGGAAAUAUACAUAUCACACAGAAAUAUUUUAUAUGUUUUGUAUACACAUACACGAAAUUAUCACCUGCAAUAUCAAAACAAAUCUGUGUAUAUUGAAGCCUAACAACGUGAUGAAACAAAAUUUUAUUUAUGCCACAAUUUUUUGAGAAACAAGGAGAAAAGAAUAUCACUGCAGUGCACGAAAGGUUUCCAGUAGUCUCAGUCUUUUCUGUCAGACAGUAUAUAAUAUAAACCAUACACUAUACAAGGGAAGGCAUUAAAUAAGUUUGGCACUACUGAGAUUUGAACGGUGGGAAAUCACCAUUUUUAUGUCCAAAUGGAACAAUAUUUAAUCAAGUUGCACUAACAUGUGAUUGGUGGUUUAAUAUAAAAUGUGAGUCAACAACACAACUCUAUGUAUAUUAAAUGAAGGACUUUAUAAAUAUAUUUUACCAAUAAUGCCAAAAUUUCCCGAGGAUUUCACUGGACCGGAAGUUGAUAGAUAUUUAGAGGAGAAAUUCAAAGAAAUUGUAACAAAAUUACAGUAAGGGUUGUCACGGGUCACGGAAAUCAGGGAAUUUUAUUAAAAGUACUGCGGCAAAGUAUCGAAUUUCUAAAAACAGGCAAG